AUGUGUCAGAGGCCCUUCCUGGAGCCAAUGACUCUCCUGAAAGAAAGCACUCUGGGUUCCCCACCUACUCUGUCAUCUUGGCAGCUGGCAGCAACUCAUUCUGCACCACAAAAUAUGAAGAAAUUUGGAGAAGGAGGAAAAGUCUUACCAGUAAAUAUAACCAAGGCAUCAGCAAAAUGAUGAAACUGAUAUAUAGCUGUUUUCCUCUUGCAAAAGACUUUUUCAUCUGACAAGAUACACACGAUAGAUGAAAACAUUAAAUGUGAAAAAUAUGUAAGUAGCAGGUGCUGAGCUUUGUAUAAUGAGUUGUGUGUUCAUUUCUUCUUGAAGGUGAGAAACAGUUCAACCACAGCUGGGGUGGGUGGAGAAACAUAAUUCUUGGUGAUGUAUAGUGAAAAUCAUAGCCCACCAGCUCAGCCAUACAGCACUUGAAGAGGUCAUGAUUAUGAAGGGCCGCACACAAGAGCCAGAUGUAUACCAGUGACAAGGAAUACGCAUUUUCUUCAGAUGUCACAAGUCCUCUUUUUCAUUGUUGAGUAAUGACUAUAACAGCAUCACUUAGUUCAACCAACAGUAUCUGUGAUGGGGCAGAAGAAAACCUCAAGACAGUAUUAGUGUUCAAAUAACACGAGUUUCACAAACACCCAGAACAGUUUCUUUUUUGCAAUGAUUCAUAGGUGAUUUAAAAAAAAAAAAAAAAAACUGUAAGACAAUUUCCUGUGGUGAAUUUAAAACCAUAGCUUUUGAAUUCUUGAAAAACAAUGCUUUCAAGUUGGCCAUCUCUAUGAUGCUGGUCAUCUUGGUGUUUAGGUGUUCAGAGCCAUUAAACUACAACAAAGCACAUAAAUAUAAAGUGACAAAAAGAGUCCUUGCCUGUCUCUCCGAGCCAGCAGCUUCUCAUCGGGAAUAACGGUUUCAGAGGGGAGGGUUAGAAGAUUCCUUAGAUAGAUUCAUGGUGGCUUCCAGAUGGCUGAUACAAAAGCCAGAGGGAGGCUUGGGUAGGCAGUCAUUUGAUAGCUGG
Molecule: long non-coding RNA, 1021 nt
Filed under: Papio anubis (olive baboon)
Lineage: Eukaryota; Metazoa; Chordata; Mammalia; Primates; Cercopithecidae
Description: lncRNA (ENSPANG00000051016.1)
Source: RNAcentral